UCGCGGCGGANGGGUGAGUAAUGCCUAGGAAUCUGCCUAGUAGUGGGGGACAACGUUUCGAAAGGAACGCUAAUACCGCAUACGUCCUACGGGAGAAAGUGGGGGAUCUUCGGACCUCACGCUAUUAGAUGAGCCUAGGUCGGAUUAGCUAGUUGGUAGGGUAAAGGCCUACCAAGGC
This 178-nucleotide ribosomal RNA is filed under the name Pseudomonas sp. RNAcentral's name for it is "partial 16S ribosomal RNA". It matches the Rfam family "Bacterial small subunit ribosomal RNA", at positions 93 to 274 of the family's 1533-position model. The record is from RNAcentral. Lineage: Bacteria; Pseudomonadati; Pseudomonadota; Gammaproteobacteria; Pseudomonadales; Pseudomonadaceae.